Molecule: ribosomal RNA, 440 nt
Filed under: uncultured bacterium
Lineage: Bacteria
Description: partial 16S ribosomal RNA
Rfam family: Bacterial small subunit ribosomal RNA
Source: RNAcentral
CCUACGGGCGGCAGCAGUGGGGAAUAUUGCACAAUGGGGGAAACCCUGAUGCAGCGACGCCGCGUGAGUGAAGAAGGAUUUCGGUAUGUAAAGCUCUAUCAGCAGGGAAGAGAAUGACGGUACCUGAGUACGAAGCACCGGCUAACUACGUGCCAGCAGCCGCGGUAAUACGUAGGGGGCAAGCGUUAUCCGGAUUUACUGGGUGUUAAGGGAGCGUAGACGGCGAAGAAAGUCUGAAGUGAAAGCCCGCGGCUCAACCGCGGAACUGCUUUGGAAACUGUUGUGCUGGAGUACCGGAGAGGUAAGCGGAAUGCGUAGUGUAGCGGUGAAAUGCGUAGAUAUUAGGAGGAACACCAGUGGCGAAGGCGGCUUACUGGACGGUAACUGACGUUGAGGCUCGAAAGCGUGGGGAGCAAACAGGAUUAGAUACCCUUGUAGUC